Molecule: ribosomal RNA, 422 nt
Filed under: uncultured Lachnospiraceae bacterium
Lineage: Bacteria; Bacillati; Bacillota; Clostridia; Lachnospirales; Lachnospiraceae
Description: bacterial SSU rRNA
Rfam family: Bacterial small subunit ribosomal RNA
Source: RNAcentral
UGGGGAAUAUUGCACAAUGGGGGAAACCCUGAUGCAGCAACGCCGCGUGAGUGAAGAAGUAUUUCGGUAUGUAAAGCUCUAUCAGCAGGGAAGAUAAUGACGGUACCUGACUAAGAAGCUCCGGCUAAAUACGUGCCAGCAGCCGCGGUAAUACGUAUGGAGCAAGCGUUAUCCGGAUUUACUGGGUGUAAAGGGUGCGUAGGUGGCAGUGCAAGUCAGAUGUGAAAGGCCGGGGCUCAACCCCGGAGCUGCAUUUGAAACUGCUCGGCUAGAGUACAGGAGAGGCAGGCGGAAUUCCUAGUGUAGCGGUGAAAUGCGUAGAUAUUAGGAGGAACACCAGUGGCGAAGGCGGCCUGCUGGACUGUUACUGACACUGAGGCACGAAAGCGUGGGGAGCAAACAGGAUUAGAUACCCUGGUAGU